CUUGGUUUUCGUGGUUUUGGUGUGAAGACAAGACCACAGAAAAAGCAUUUGUCCCUAUCAGCUUUAAUAUCUGAUAUGUCCUUUGCCUAAGGACCCUAUAUUAAACUGAUUUUUGGAGCAGGGAGUUGGAAUACGAGCUUUCUCCAUGCAUUAUUGUGGUAUUGCAGUGUUCCCAGGAAUGAUGAAGUCUUA
Small nuclear RNA from Stegostoma tigrinum, 192 nucleotides. RefSeq annotates it as U2 spliceosomal RNA. The record is from RefSeq and is a predicted model, not a curated record. Lineage: Eukaryota; Metazoa; Chordata; Chondrichthyes; Orectolobiformes; Stegostomatidae. The transcript has a single exon.